RNAcentral lists this ribosomal RNA (364 nucleotides) under uncultured bacterium. Its description in RNAcentral is "bacterial SSU rRNA". It matches the Rfam family "Bacterial small subunit ribosomal RNA", at positions 8 to 354 of the family's 1533-position model. The record is from RNAcentral.
AGAGUUUGAUCAUGGCUCAGGAUGAACGCUGGCGGCGUGCUUAACACAUGCAAGUCGAGCGAAGCAAUUUAAGUGAAGUUUUCGGAUGGAUCUUAGAUUGACUGAGCGGCGGACGGGUGAGUAACGCGUGGAUAACCUGCCUCACACAGGGGGAUAACAGUUAGAAAUGACUGCUAAUACCGCAUAAGCGCACGGUACCGCAUGGUACAGUGUGAAAAACUCCGGUGGUGUGAGAUGGAUCCGCGUCUGAUUAGGUAGUUGGUGAGGUAACGGCCCACCAAGCCGACGAUCAGUAGCCGACCUGAGAGGGUGACCGGCCACAUUGGGACUGAGACACGGCCCAAACUCCUACGGGACGCAGCAG